CGGAGGCAAAGAAACCAACAGGGAUUGCCAUAGUAACGGCGAGUGAAGCGGCAACAGAUCAAAUUUGAAAUGUGUCGCAAGCGUGAGUUGUAAUUUGUAGCGGAUGUUUUGGGUGACGUGCCUUCCGAGUUCCCGGAACGGGACGCCAUAGAGGGUGAGAGCCCCGUACGGUUGGAUGCCUAGCGUAAGUGAAAUUCGUUGGACGAGUUGAGUAGUUUGGGAAUGUUGCUGUAAAUGGGAGGUAUACGUUUUAUAAAAAUAAAUACCGGCCAGAGACCGAUAGCACACAAGUAGAGUGAUAGAAAGAUGAAAAGCACUUUGAAAAGAGGGUUAAAAAGUACGUGAAAUAAAGAAAGGGAAGCGUUCAUGACCAGAAUUGGGCAGGUUGAUCAUCCGUGGUUCUGGGUGGGUGCACUCUGCCUGCCCAGGCCAGCAUCAGUUCGCCCCGGGGGAUAAAGGUUAUGGGAAUGUGGCUCCGUCGGGAGUGUUAUACCCCAGUGCGUAAUACCGCGGGGUGGAGAGAGGUGCGCGC
This 532-nucleotide ribosomal RNA is filed under the name fungal endophyte. RNAcentral's name for it is "eukaryotic LSU rRNA". It matches the Rfam family "Eukaryotic large subunit ribosomal RNA", at positions 51 to 598 of the family's 3401-position model. The record is from RNAcentral. Lineage: Eukaryota; Fungi.